This 251-nucleotide ribosomal RNA is filed under the name uncultured bacterium. Its description in RNAcentral is "partial 16S ribosomal RNA". It matches the Rfam family "Bacterial small subunit ribosomal RNA", at positions 103 to 354 of the family's 1533-position model. The record is from RNAcentral.
CGGGUGAGUAACACGUGAGCAACCUGCCUUUAAGAGUGGGAUAACGGUCGGAAACGACCGCUAAUACCGCAUAAUAUACAUGAAUCGCAUGGUUUGUGUAUCAAAGAUUUAUCGCUUAAAGAUGGGCUCGCGUCUGAUUAGCUGGUUGGUGAGGUAACGGCUCACCAAGGCGACGAUCAGUAGCCGUACUGAGAGGUAGAACGGCCACAUUGGGACUGAGACACGGCCCAGACUCCUACGGGAGGCAGCAG